This is a long non-coding RNA of Daphnia pulex (common water flea), 428 nucleotides long. RefSeq lists it as uncharacterized. The transcript is spliced from 2 exons. Lineage: Eukaryota; Metazoa; Arthropoda; Branchiopoda; Diplostraca; Daphniidae. The record is from RefSeq and is a predicted model, not a curated record.
UGAGGAAAAGGCACUCAAGGCGGUGAUAUCCGUUAUCCGUUCAGGUACACCUUGUCUGCAAGUGAUCCCGACGUUUCAGCACCUAGGCAACAGUGCUUGGGACAGUGGAUUGCUGAAAGGAUAAACACCUAGUUGGUUACAUACUACAAGGCAACAGCAAAUGUAAGAUCAAGCACAACGGAUGGUGAAACACUACCCUGUCUCACAACAACAGCAUGUUCCAGGCUCAUGUGAUCCUCACACAAUAGGGACUGGGCAUCUGAUUGUUUUAAUAAUCACCUGUAUCACCCUUUUAGCUUUAUUCCUGUCAUUCUGCACUUUACCUAACCCGUGAUAAAUCUUUCUUUUUGAAUGAACACAUUUUGUUUGUUUUUUAAUUUAGCAGACAAACGAGACAGCAAUCAAUUCACAACCGUCACAACUGUCAA